UAUGUGAAAUGAAAUAAGUGGCAUGUUUUAAAAGAUAGAGGGGUUAAAAUGGAAAUAUGCUAUAAAUAAACACUUGACAAAAAUUAGUCAGUGUUUGGUCUGGGCGUGCGAACGAGAGAAGGAACCAAGGGAACCAAAACCCUAAACAACCUAAAAUCAUCAAAUUGAAAGGGGAAUCGAGGGCUGAUCGAAUGCAUGAGUCUAGAUACCCUUUAAUCUAAGUGUAUUGAUCAUAAGGAACGUGUCAAGGAGAGCUCAAGCAUAGGAGGAUAACGGGUCAAGAUAAGGCAAGGUGACAAAUACACUUAUUGGAAUACUCAAGGUAAGUGAUUUCUAUAAUCACUUCUUUAGUUGUUUAAGUAGUAUAAUGUUUUAAUUAUUAAGUUCAUAUGAAGUUGAGGUUAAAUCAAUGGAUUAUUUUGAUAAAUGCACGAAUGGGUCGAAUAAUUCAUAGAUGAAUAACAAGCCGAAUACGUAUAAGUUAAGGAAUUCCUUAACUCGGAUGUUGGACUUCAAGAUCACGUGAUAGAAUAUUAAAUUACAAUCAUAUAGGAAGAAACGUGACGCAAAACGGACGAAAAAUGAGAGAGUUAUGUCCGUUUCAGUAAGGAUUAAUGGCUAGGAAAAGUGCAGAGUUGACACGGCCGGGUGGUGAACUGACACGGCCGGGUGAAGGUUCUGUCAAAAUAUAAUUUAUGUGAUUUAUGCGCCGUAGGCUUCGGUAUAUUAUCCGUGAACUACGACGGGCCUCCCAAACAUGAUUUCGAGUGUUUCCUUGACGAUUAUAAGUUGUAAACCCAAGUCUAAGCCUCAUGUAAUUUAUAUAAGAGUGUGAUAGAUGUAUGUAAUGAAGUUGGACAUGUAUUACAUGUAAAUGUAUACAAAAAUACGUACGGAACACGUAGGUAUGAAUACAUGAUUGUAGGUAUGAUUAAAUGUAUAUUAGGUAUGUAGAUGUGUAUGAUUGUAAGUUUGUAUGUGUGCAAGUAUGUGCGAAUGCAUGAUUCGGAUGCAUUUGAGAAUUAGCGUUACUAAUAAUGCCCUUGGGUUUGGAAUAUAAGUUGAUUGGAUGCAUUUAAAUGGUUAACGUCCUUUUUAUGAAGAUGUAGUAAAUGAAUAUGUUGAGAUUACGGGUUUGGCUAACCAAGUUAUUAUUGAGUAUGUUUGAAAGUGCAGGUGAUGAAUGUCGGACUUUCGAAGUGUUGAUAUAAUAAUGAAACGGUUGAAUGUUGAAAGGAUAAUCAGACUGAAGUAACUUAUGCGGUUAGAAUAUGCUAUGGACGUUUUAGUUUAUACAAUAUUAUAUGUUUGGUCGUCACCAUCUACUAACAGGUUCGUUGUAUGAGAGUAUAUGUCAUACCCAUUUAAUUGGGUAAUCGAAUGCGUAAGAAAAAUGAAAGUACGCACACGAAUGGAACUAAAAUGACGGUUUUAUAAGCAAACAAGUAUAAUGACUAACUUUUUAAAGCUUUGUUGUUGAAUGUAGGUAAAUCCUCAAUUUUGGCGACUUGGAGAAUCGGAGCGAGCGCGUGUUCGUGUUAUGCGAUACCAAACGCUUCCGCUAGUUUGUUCAAAUGUUUUUGACCCAAAAUUUGUUGUAUUGGUUUUUAGUAGUAUCUUGUUGAACGAAUUGUAGAAUUGUAUCUAGUUUGUUUAUGUUUAAAACAGGGGUAUGCUCGUUUUAUGGACGGGUCAUGCCCGAUUUUUUGUUAAAUUAUAGUUUGAUAAUAUCACAUUUAGGAAGGUGAAAUUUUGGGCGUAACAAGUUGGUAUCAGAGCCUAGGUUUGAGGGAUUCGAGCAAGAGUAUCAGUGCUUGAACUCAAACCGAUGACUCGUGCAAAAGUGUGCUCGCUCCGAGAUCGCCAAUGAGGCCAAGAGCACGCGGGUUAUGCGAAGGGUAAGCGCAAUUGUUCGGAAGGAAUGAUCCGUGAAUGCGGUCUAGGACCGGCAUCAAGGCAAGUAAUAAGACGAAUUGACCCCUGGUGAGCUUGAUGAAUGGACACGCAAUGUUACUAAUCAGAAAGGAAGGAUAAUCGUAAGGUAUGGAUAACGAAUCAAUGGAAUUUACUUCCGUCAGGUAUGUAUAAAAAGAAGUGUAACUUUAAUAGAGGUUAGUACUCGACUAGAAAUGGAUGUGUCAGAAUAGAAUGUAUGUAUAUAUACAAACCGUAAUGCAAAAUGUGGAGUGAAUUUCAAAAUGUUCGUAAUGAUCGUCGGGUAGUAUUGAACUUGAAUGCUCGUAACUGUGGAAAUUCUGAUAGAAUAUAAGAGACGAUAAGUAUCCUUAAGAAAUGCUAACUUUGAUGCUCGGCUUGUUGGCCAUGUUCAUUUGAACAAGACAUUGUAGAAAAGAUACGCAUGGCAUAAAUAACAAUAAUAACCAUGGAAAUAAUGCUUAGUCUUCGUGAUUUAAGUAUGGAUAAGUAAGUUUAAGAAGGGACGUUGGUAACGGGAUGAUAGGGUUUGCUCGUGGUGAACAUAAUGAAAUAAUGUAUAUGAUAUAAUGAUAGAAUGAAACAAAUCAUAGAAAGUGAAAACGACACUAAUAAGAGCUCUGGAUCAGAUUAUGAGUUUUAUGUGAUUAUGAAAAUAAAUUACAUAAUUUAAGAACGUAAGGACAAUGCGUACAAUCAUGUUUAGGUAUGAAACAAACUUUUGACCAAGAUCCCGAAUGUAUUCAUGUUGUAAUAAGCAUCGUGAAUGAAUAGAUGGAAAGGUAAGAGUAGUAUUGGUCUACUAAGAAUAAGAAAGGUUUCGGGGACGAAACCUUCUUUAAGGGGGGUAGACUUGUAACACGCCAAAUUUCGUAAGAUAUAUUACAAUGUUUUAAUCGCAAUAUUUGACUUUCAGAAAUGAUAAACAUAGAUUUCUACUAUUAUUAAAGUUUUAUAAACUAUGGAA
Helianthus annuus (common sunflower) is the source of this 2902-nucleotide long non-coding RNA. RefSeq lists it as uncharacterized. The record is from RefSeq and is a predicted model, not a curated record. Lineage: Eukaryota; Viridiplantae; Streptophyta; Magnoliopsida; Asterales; Asteraceae. The transcript is spliced from 4 exons.